This 229-nucleotide long non-coding RNA is filed under the name Elaeis guineensis (African oil palm). RNAcentral's name for it is "long non-coding RNA (EGUI_LNC060763)". Lineage: Eukaryota; Viridiplantae; Streptophyta; Magnoliopsida; Arecales; Arecaceae. The record is from RNAcentral.
GUAGAAGACUUUUCUUCCCAAGAAGAAUCUUAGCUUGGAGCACUUUGAUCAACAUCUUGAUCUGGACUGUGGGAUCAACUCUUUGAUCAGCAGCCUUCUUCUACUUCUUCUCAAUCUUCAAUCUCUAAGUCACCAAGCACUACCUUUUGGCAUGUAGAAGAGGGGACACCCAACUCUUGGGCGUGGAAAGGAAGAGAGAGAAAAGAGGAGUCAUGGAGAAGGGAGAGGG